CGCAGGCAGGGGCGGCCGCUGCCGCUCACUGCCUGCGCCUGGCCCGUCGCGACCUCGCCGCCGUCGCCGCCACCCUGGGCACCGUCACCGCCUGUCGCCUGCUGCCCCCCGGGGGGGCGGGGGGGGCCGCGGGGGGGGGGGGCGGGGGGAUGUCGUGACAGGGGGGUGUGGUGGUGGUGGGAUAAUGGCACGGGGAUGUCACGACAUGGGGAAAAUUACGCUGGGAUGUCGUGACAGUGGGAUAAUGGCAUGGGGAUGUCACGACAUGGGGACAUCGUGACACUGGGAUGUCAUGACAGUGGGACAGUGGCGCGGGGAUGUCACAACAUGAGGACAUCGUGACACCAGGACAGUGGCACUGGGAUGUCACGACAUGAGGAUAUCAUGACACUGGGAUGUCGUGACAGUGGGACAGUGGCACUGGGAUGGCCCAGCAUGGGGAUAUCGUGACACCAGGAUGUCGUGACACGGGGCCGUCAGGACAUUGUCACCGCAGGCACCGUCCCCUUGCCGCCCACCCCCACCACGCGGGGACAUCCCCCGGCCCCAAAUCCCGUGGUUUUUGCCCCAUUUUGGGGCUCUGUGAGGUGGCGCUGAAUAAAGCCCCC
RNAcentral lists this long non-coding RNA (608 nucleotides) under Anas platyrhynchos platyrhynchos (common mallard). RNAcentral's name for it is "lncRNA (ENSAPLG00000016948.1)". Lineage: Eukaryota; Metazoa; Chordata; Aves; Anseriformes; Anatidae. The record is from RNAcentral.